ACUGCCUUUUUCUGUCAACAGGACCCAAGGAUAUAAUUCCCCGAGUGACUUGAAACAUGCUCUUCACUUGCUCCUUUUUCUCUAUGUUAAUACAGUGCCACAGUAGCUGACACCUGCAGGGCUCCAUGGCUCAGAGGUCACCGUGAGCAGAGCAGCCUGCAG
RNAcentral lists this long non-coding RNA (162 nucleotides) under Numida meleagris (helmeted guineafowl). RNAcentral describes it as "lncRNA (ENSNMEG00000017832.1)". Lineage: Eukaryota; Metazoa; Chordata; Aves; Galliformes; Numididae. The record is from RNAcentral.